UGGCGACCGGCGCACGGGUGCGUAACGCGUAUGCAACCUACCCAUAACAGGGGGAUAACACUGAGAAAUUGGUACUAAUACCCCAUAACAUCAGGACCGGCAUCGGUUCUGGUUGAAAACUCCGGUGGUUAUGGAUGGGCAUGCGUUGUAUUAGCUAGUUGGUGGGGUAACGGCUCACCAAGGCGACGAUACAUAGGGGGACUGAGAGGUUAACCCCCCACACUGGUACUGAGACACGGACCAG
Molecule: ribosomal RNA, 244 nt
Filed under: uncultured bacterium
Lineage: Bacteria
Description: partial 16S ribosomal RNA
Rfam family: Bacterial small subunit ribosomal RNA
Source: RNAcentral